GAAAUGCGAUACUUGGUGUGAAUUGCAGAAUCCCGUGAACCAUCGAGUCUUUGAACGCAAGUUGCGCCCGAAGCCAUUAGGCCGAGGGCACGCCUGCCUGGGUGUCACACAUCGUUUCCCCAACGCAAACAUGUAACAAUGUUGCUGCGCGGGAGGUCAGCAUACAC
RNAcentral lists this unclassified non-coding RNA (167 nucleotides) under uncultured fungus. RNAcentral describes it as "sequence contains ITS1". The stretch from base 1 to 107 matches the Rfam family "5.8S ribosomal RNA", at positions 50 to 154 of the family's 154-position model. From Rfam's summary of the family: 5.8S ribosomal RNA (5.8S rRNA) is a component of the large subunit of the eukaryotic ribosome. Lineage: Eukaryota; Fungi. The record is from RNAcentral.